This 253-nucleotide ribosomal RNA is filed under the name uncultured bacterium. RNAcentral's name for it is "partial 16S ribosomal RNA". It matches the Rfam family "Bacterial small subunit ribosomal RNA", at positions 524 to 776 of the family's 1533-position model. The record is from RNAcentral.
UACGUAGGGUGCGAGCGUUAAUCGGAAUUACUGGGCGUAAAGGGCGCGUAGGCGGCGCGGUAAGCGUGCGGUGAAAGCCCGGGGCUCAACCCCGGGUCGGCCGUGCGGACUGCCGGGCUGGAGCACUGUAGAGGCAGGUGGAAUUCCGGGUGUAGCGGUGGAAUGCGUAGAGAUCCGGAAGAACACCGGUGGCGAAGGCGGCCUGCUGGGCAGUAGCUGACGCUGAAGCGCGACAGCGUGGGGAGCAAACAGG